UGGGGAAUAUUGCACAAUGGGGGAAACCCUGAUGCAGCGACGCCGCGUGAACGAAGAAGGCAUUCGUAUCGUAAAGUUCUGUCCUAUGGGAAGAUAAUGACAGUACCAUAGAAGAAAGCUCCGGCUAAAUACGUGCCAGCAGCCGCGGUAAUACGUAUGGAGCGAGCGUUGUCCGGAAUUAUUGGGCGUAAAGGGUACGCAGGCGGUUUAAUAAGUCGAAUGUUAAAGAUCGGGGCUCAACCCCGCAAAGCAUUGGAAACUGAUAAACUUGAGUAGUGGAGAGGAAAGUGGAAUUCCUAGUGUAGUGGUGAAAUACGUAGAUAUUAGGAGGAAUACCAGUAGCGAAGGCGACUUUCUGGACACAAACUGACGCUGAGGUACGAAAGCGUGGGGAGCAAACAGG
RNAcentral lists this ribosomal RNA (403 nucleotides) under bacterium. RNAcentral describes it as "partial 16S ribosomal RNA". It matches the Rfam family "Bacterial small subunit ribosomal RNA", at positions 355 to 776 of the family's 1533-position model. The record is from RNAcentral.